Molecule: ribosomal RNA, 459 nt
Filed under: uncultured bacterium
Lineage: Bacteria
Description: bacterial SSU rRNA
Rfam family: Bacterial small subunit ribosomal RNA
Source: RNAcentral
GAUGAGCCUGCGUCCCAUUAGCUAGUUGGUAGGGUAAUGGCCUACCAAGGCAGUAAUGGGUAGCCGACCUGAGAGGGUGAUCGGCCACACUGGGACUGAGACACGGCCCAGACUCCUACGGGAGGCAGCAGUAGGGAAUAUUGCCCAAUGGGCGAAAGCCUGAGGCAGCGACGCCGCGUGGAUGAAGAAGCGCUUCGGUGUGUAAAAUCCUUUUCUUUGUGAGCAAAGCCAAUAAGGUGAACAGUUUUAUUGGUAAGAUAUUAGCAGAGGAAUAAGCUCCGGCUAACUCCGUGCCAGCAGCCGCGGUAACACGGGGGGAGCAAGCGUUGUCCGGAAUUACUAGGCGUAAAGGGCAAGUAGGCGGAAUAAUUAGUCAGAAGUUAAAGGCGUCGGCUCAACCGGCGUAUGGCAUUUGAUACUGUUAUUCUAGAGUAAGGUGGGGGAAGACGGAAUUCCUGG